AGGUAGAGGAAGGUAGUCCUGCUCCUCUCUGUGUCAUGGUGAGGAGGUAGAGGAAGGUAGUCCUGCUCCUCUCUGUGUCAUGGUGAGGAGGUAGAAGAAGGUACUCCAGUCUGGUUGUUGAGGGCCUGCUCCAGUAGGGCUCGUUGUGCCACGGAGGGGAGGUAGAGGAAUGCGUAGAGCAGCCCCAGGACGAUGAGAGACAGGAGGAGGGGCAGUCCCCAGUCUGUUGUCAUGGUGAAGAGGUAGAGGAAGGUACUCCAGUCUGGUUGUUGAGGGCCUGCUCCAGUAGGGCUCGUUGUGCCACGGAGGGGAGGUAGAGGAAUGCGUAGAGCAGCCCCAGGACGAUGAGAGACAGGAGGAGGGGCAGUCCCCAGUCUGUUGUCAUGGUGAAGAGGUAGAGGAAGGUACUCCAGUCUGGUUGUUGAGGGCCUGCUCCAGUAGGGCUCGUUGUGCCACGGAGGGGAGGUAGAGGAAUGCGUAGAGCAGCCCCAGGACGAUGAGAGACAGGAGGAGGGGCAGUCCCCAGUCUGUUGUCAUGGUGAAGAGGUAGAGGAAGGUACUCCAGUCUGGUUGUUGAGGGCCUGCUCCAGUAGGGCUCGUUGUGCCACGGAGGGGAGGUAGAGGAAUGCGUAGAGCAGCCCCAGGACGAUGAGAGACAGGAGGAGGGGCAGUCCCCAGUCUGUUGUCAUGGUGAAGAGGUAGAGGAAGGUACUCCAGUCUGGUUGUUGAGGGCCUGCUCCAGUAGGGCUCGUUGUGCCACGGAGGGGAGGUAGAGGAAUGCGUAGAGCAGCCCCAGGACGAUGAGAGACAGGAGGAGGGGCAGUCCCCAGUCUGUUGUCAUGGUGAAGAGGUAGAGGAAGGUACUCCAGUCUGGUUGUUGAGGGCCUGCUCCAGUAGGGCUCGUUGUGCCACGGAGGGGAGGUAGAGGAAUGCGUAGAGCAGCCCCAGGACGAUGAGAGACAGGAGGAGGGGCAGUCCCCAGUCUGUUGUCAUGGUGAAGAGGUAGAGGAAGGUACUCCAGUCUGGUUGUUGAGGGCCUGCUCCAGUAGGGCUCGUUGUGCCACGGAGGGGAGGUAGAGGAAUGCGUAGAGCAGCCCCAGGACGAUGAGAGACAGGAGGAGGGGCAGUCCCCAGUCUGUUGUCAUGGUGAAGAGGUAGAGGAAGGUACUCCAGUCUGGUUGUUGAGGGCCUGCUCCAGUAGGGCUCGUUGUGCCACGGAGGGGAGGUAGAGGAAUGCGUAGAGCAGCCCCAGGACGAUGAGAGACAGGAGGAGGGGCAGUCCCCAGUCUGUUGUCAUGGUGAAGAGGUAGAGGAAGGUACUCCAGUCUGGUUGUUGAGGGCCUGCUCCAGUAGGGCUCGUUGUGCCACGGAGGGGAGGUAGAGGAAUGCGUAGAGCAGCCCCA
Molecule: long non-coding RNA, 1403 nt
Organism: Oncorhynchus keta (chum salmon)
Lineage: Eukaryota; Metazoa; Chordata; Actinopteri; Salmoniformes; Salmonidae
Exons: 3
Source: RefSeq, a predicted model, not a curated record